UGUUGCUUUGCCAGCCUUGUUUUAUACAUGGCCAGUCUGAAACUCAGGUGGCGUUCUUACCAUUGAGCGCAGCUGCCGGGCCAGACUGAAACACCUGGCCUAGCUAACAUCACACAAUUUAGUCUGAACAGCACGAACAGCACACACAGCUGCUCUUUAGGGAAGAGCCUUGGAUGGACCAGCUCAGACCCGGGCAUAUACUUUUCUAGUUUAUAUGGCACACAUCUAAGAACCUUGAAGAUAAUCAGUAAAUGUUAACUUAAUGAGUGAAUGUGCCAUUAUCUGCUGUAGUAACAUUUCCUAAAGCAGUUGGGUCUGGCUUUUCAUUAUUCACAGAAGAUUUUGUUAUAAAGUCCCUAAAUGCCUUUUAUAGAUAUGCAUGUUUUAAGAUACUAGUGUCACAGCAAUAUAGGUCUUUAUAAUCCACCACUUACAAAAAAAUAGACUCUGGGUUUUUUUUUUGUUUUUUUGUUUUUUUUUUUUGGCUGCACCCUCGGCAUAUGGAGGUUCCCAGGCUAGGGCUCUAAUCGGAGCUGUAGCCACUGGUCUACUGCAGAGCCACAGCAAUGCGGGAUCCGAGCCGCUUCUGUGACCUACACCGCAGCUCACAGCAAUGCCUGAUCCUUAACCCACUGUGCAAGGCCAGGGAUCGAACCCGCAACCUCAUCGUUUGUAGUCGGAUUCAUUAACCAUUGUGCCACGAUGGGAACUCCAAGACUCUGAGUUUUUUUUUUGGGAAAAAAAAAUUGUUUAUAUGUUUUGUAUUUGUCAGGACUCUGUCAGGAAGUCACAGAAACCCAGUGUUCAGAGAGGAAGGGGCAUAUCCUGGCUCCCGUAUUGGAAAAGUUCAGGGAAGAUCCACUUCUGAUUUUCUGUCUUCUUCAGGGUGGUAAAUGUUCAUGAGCAGCUUUAGACAUAAUCCCUGUGGGAAAAGAGAAUAAUUCAGGAUUAAUUCUGAUUAGACCGCUUUGAUCAUAUGCCCAUGCCCAAACCAGUUCUUAUGGCCUGAGACUGGGCACAUACUGCUUGGCUCGCCCUUGAUGUCCUGGAGCCUUGGGGACCGGGAGGGAGGUCUGUGUGAGGAGUGGGGCCGGGGCGGGGGAGUGGAGGAGGUACCUGGGAAUGUGGUCCUAAAACACAUGACCUGAGAGCAGAGAAUGCGUGGUUUUUAAAGAGAACAUAUUGAAAAGAAGAGAGAGUAGAGUCUGCAAGCAGAAAUAGCAGGUAUCUGCUGCUGCUGCUGCAUCUGUUUUCCCUGGAGGACAGAGCAUAUUUCAAUAAGCCACUGAGCCAUCAACCUGAAUGGUCCUGGUCUGACAUUCUCCCUUUCCGCCUCCACCCAGUCAUCAGCAGGGCCUGCUGCUCCAUCUUUCAGUCUUCCUCUCCCCCCCUCCCCUGUGAGUUCAGACCUUCCCUGCUUCACUCCUAAGUCACGUCUAAGAUGCUGCCUCCCGUCUCUCUGCUGCCAGGCCAUCCUCUUCACCGCUGCCUGAGUGCUCUUACUAAAGGACAAGUAGCUAAAAUCAAACCAUGAGUCCACGGUCAAAAGGUACAUACUGCCAGCUGUGAAAUAAAUAAGGCGUGGGGAUAUAAUAUACAGCCUGGUGACCAAAGUUAAUAAUAGCAUGCAUAUUUGAAAAUUGCCAAGAAAGUAGAUCUUAAGAGUUAUCACAAGAGUUGAUACUAUGUAUAGUGAUAGAUGUUGACUUGUUUUGCAAUCAUUUCACAGUUUAUACAACUAGCAAAUCAUUGUAUUAUACACCUGAAACAUAUAAUGUUAUAUGUCAGUUGUAUCUCAGUAAAAAAGAACUAUUCAAAAUUUCAUAGCCUUGGAGAAGAAGUCCAAGUUCAUGGCCAUGAAUUCCGAGGUUCCCCAUGAUAUGCCCUGCCUCCUGUGUGUCACAGUGAAUGGAUGGGUGGUAGGGUGUGCAGCAAAGACUUCUUGGAGCUGCCCAUAUUCUCCCCAUGCUGUGCUGGCCUACAUAACAUCAAGAGCACCAGCUAUCCAUUUUCUCCCUUAUUUUCAUGCUUUUGCAUGUGCUUUUGUCUCUGUGGAAUAUUGCUUCUCCUUUCUUGACCUAGUGAACACUUCCUUUCAGAGACAACCCAAGCGUUGUCUCUUUGCUGAACACAUCCUCCUACCCAGUCCCUACAUUGGACUUGACCCUGUGGUGCAGCACUGGGUGUGCUUGUCUGUCUCUCCUGCUGCUCCGAAUGUCCUGAGUGCCUUCUUGUCUUUGUGUAUCCCUGUGCUCAGAACAGUGCCUUUCACAUCAGAUACGCACAGUGACUUCUAAAUGAAUGAAAUAUGUGUACUAAAUUGUUCACCUUCAUCCUACGAUUUUUUAGGCUUAUUUUCUUUCCUUUAACUUGACUCUCACAUUUGCAUCUGAAAACAUAUUGGACAUGAAGAGCAGGUUCUCUUUGAAAUUGCUACUUGGAUGCUUUUGCAGCAAUUCUCCCAACUGUUGGUGUGCUCGUUUCCUGCUUGGUCACCAAGAACUACCUUAAGAGAGAGGUGGAAAAAUAUAGUGACCAGAAAUUAAUCUCAGGGCUAGAAUCCAUGGCUCAGAUAUCAGAUGAGGAAUAAUUUUUCUUCCUCCCUUUAAGAGGAUAUCUAAUAGUUAAUACCUGUGAGGUGCUUCCUGUCUGCAUUUACCAGAUGCCUUACAAUUAUUAUUAUUGAAUCCUCAAAACAGCCCCAGGUAGGACCUAUUACUAUUAUCACCCCUUUUCUCCAUAUGAGGAAACUUUUUUUCUCUUUUUUGGCUUUUUAGGGCUGCACCAGUGGCAUAUGACAGUUCCCAGGUUAGCGGUCAAAUUGGAGCUGCAGUUGCUACCUACACCAUAGCCACUGCAAUGCCAGAUCCGAGCCACAUCUGUGCCUUACACCACAGCUCGCACAACACUGGAUCCUUAACCCAUUGAGUGAGACCAGGGAUCGAACUCAUGUUCUCAUGGAUACUAGUUGGGUUUGCUUCCGCUGAGCCAUAAUGGGAACUCCCGGAAACUAACAUUCCAAGAGUAGAAGCAGCUUGCUUGUUGCUAGGCUCCUUCUUCUUGGACCUUGCAUAGUUGCCAGACACUCAUCUGGGUUGCUGAGGGGGUAGACCCAGUCUCCAAUUGGGCUCUUCCAACUCAUCCAAUAUGUUUUCGUGGUUGUUCUAAAAUGACGUGACCCCUUCCCAGGAGUCAAACAUUGCAGCUGCCUCCCUUGGCCAUCAGUUGUGUCAGAAACACUAUGGAAAAAGAUGUGUGUAAAGAGGUUAAGGACUUUAGUACUGUACGUGGUUGAAAAUAAGAUGAAUUUCUAUCUUAGAAAUUGCAGGCAUGUUCCAGUGAUUCUGCUGUGGCCAGAUAAUAAACGCCUCUCACCGAAGUUGUGCUGCUGUGUGUAAAAUGUAGGCCUCUUGAACAGGCAUGGAAGAGGCUUAGUUCUGAGGAUCAUGCAGAAAUUUAUACCAGAGAUAUACAAAAUGAGCUAAACACUUUGGAAGCCACAGAAGCUUAAGAAUGUUUCUUAACCUGUUUUCAGUCUGAGAGCCUUUUGAGGUUCUGAUGAGAGCUAUGGAAUUCUUUCCUUAGAGAAAAAAGAUGUGCACGCACACACACACACGCACACACCACUUUGUAUUUGGUUUCAAGGGUUUCCAUCUGUGGACUUCCUGGGGGCUCCACAGACUCCAGGUUAAAAACCUUGCUUAGAAGCUGAAAUUUGGAAGAAUGAUAAUAGCCAUUGUUGAAUGUUUACCAUGCAUCACAUGCAACCAUUUAUUGCGCUCACCAUGUGCCAGCUCUUUCUGAACAGCACCUCAGAGCCCACUAUCCCCCUAAGACGUGCAUGAUGAGUCCUGUUUUAAGCUAUGAGCAAUGAAGUUCGGAGAAGGAAUGUACUCGUCUCCCGGCUGCCAAGUGGUGAGCGUAGAAUUAAAUGCAGAGCCCAGAUCUGCAUCACUGCUCCUUCUCUUGGUUUCCAUGCCCAUUCAUCUCACCAAGUGAGACAUGAGACCUGGCCAGGGAAACGCCCAGCCCUUGUCAGCCCUGACUGCCCUCAGCCUUCAGCUGAGUAGGUCAAGCGGCUGCUUCGGCCCCUGGAGCCUCCAGGCAUGUUUCCAGUGCCAGGAGCAGACGAGGGCUGGGAAGGUCUCAGCUCGCUGUCCCCCGCCACCUGUCACCACUUUUUCCCCACGCAGAGCAGAACGUGCCCAUAGAGGGAUGCAGAAUGGCUGCUUGACCAUCCCUGGGUGAGAGCCUCACUCAUUCCUGAGUGCCCUUUACACACCUGGGCACUUUAACGCAGCAGAGCCUCCACAACGCAGGUGGCUGCAUGUUCUCCAUUUGAGCCCAUCCACAGACGUUUAUUUUGGGCUGCAGUUGGCCGGGCUUCACGCUCAAUGCUGUGGUCACCACAGCAUACAGAUAUGGUUCCUGACCUCCUGGCACUUGCACCUGGCUCACAUCUAGCGGAGAAGGGGGCUAACAGAUUAAAGUGUGACGUGUUGGAUGAAAAAGGAAGUGUAAAGGGUUCCUUCUGUACAAGUUUCCAUUCUUUGCAGCUUCGCAACUCAAGUCCAAAAUGUUUCUACUUCUCUGCCCUUUCUGUCUCUCCUUGGGUGUUGAGAGAACUUCAGGUUUCCAGAGACUUAAUCAACAGGGUAAAGGGGACACAGCAGAGCAGUUCCUUGCAGGCCCCCCUUUGCAGAUGAGCAAGUAGAGUGACUAGACAACAAGCCACAGGAGGGGGAAGACAGGGCUCCCUAGUUGGUCUGGUCCCCAGCAGAGCAGGGCUCCCUGUAAACCACAGGCUGCAUCUCAUUUUUUCGUGAUGUGACUGUGGUCUUUGUUUUGGCCUUCAUGUUGUGGCCUUUCUGCUGUAGAUGAGCCUGGCAGGUCAGUGCUCUUCAGGAAGAAGUCACCGCCAGCUCUGCUCCCUCUGUAGCCCCUUGUGGGCUCCCUUGUGGCUCAUCUCCUCUUUUUCCAUGAAUCACUUCUCCCCACUCACCCACCUGCUCUCAAGACAGACUCCAGAGUUUUCUUCUCCAAGUGUCUGCUUGUGACUAUGAAUGCGAGCCCUUAGGUCAUUUCAGAUUUUCCAGUAGGCACAGUAAGAAAGGUAGAAGGAAACAGAUGAAAUUAAUUUUGGUAAUGGUUUAGUUAACCCAGUAUAUCCAAGCUAUUAGCAUUUCCCCAUGUAAUUAGUGUUAAAAAAAAUUAAUUAGAUUCUUCACAUUCUUUUUCCCCCCAAACUCUUUGAAAUUGGGGUAUAUUGCAUUAACUCAGACAAGCCACACUUGCUGUGCUCUGUCUCCACGUGUGGCUGGUGGCUCACAUGCUGGCCUGCAGGCCGGGCCUCUGAGGAGGCCCUGGGAGGCCUAGGGGCAGACUCGGCCACAGCUACCCCCAACCCCCAGCGCUUAGCUUGUGCCUUUGCUGUUCCAGGGGGUGUUGUACUUAGCUGCCGGUACUCUUGAACCCGGGCCCUUGAGGGUAGGGAAUGUGUCGGUCAUCUUUCUGUCCUGAGUGCAGGGGGCAGUGUUUAGGAGGCCCACAGUUGGCAUUUGCAACAUUGAAAGCAUUCGUGGAUGGGGAAGGUUAUUUGUAGCCUCAGGAGCUCCAAGGAUUGGUCUCUGGGGGCUCCCCCUCCCCAGCCCUGCCUCCUGCCUUUCAACCCUGGUCCUGCCUAGUGCCAGAGAACCAUGCUUGAGUCAGACUGAGGGAGCCUCUGGUGUCAAAGGGGACAUUCCAGCCUAGAAUUGUGCUGCCCUUCGGCCUGUUUCCUUUAGCUCAAGGCUUUCCCUCCUCUAAUAUUAAAUUCUAGGAGAACUUAUCUGUAGUUCUGCAUGUUAAAUGCUAAUGGUCUUAUUUAGCAGGAAGGAGAAAAAACAAAAAAACAAAAAA
RNAcentral lists this long non-coding RNA (5898 nucleotides) under Sus scrofa (pig). RNAcentral describes it as "lncRNA (ENSSSCG00015039418.1)". Lineage: Eukaryota; Metazoa; Chordata; Mammalia; Artiodactyla; Suidae. The record is from RNAcentral.